Molecule: ribosomal RNA, 453 nt
Filed under: uncultured bacterium
Lineage: Bacteria
Description: bacterial SSU rRNA
Rfam family: Bacterial small subunit ribosomal RNA
Source: RNAcentral
UACGGAAGGCAGCAGUGGGGAAUAUUGCACAAUGGGCGCAAGCCUGAUGCAGCCAUGCCGCGUGUAUGAAAAAGGCCUUCGGGUUGUAAAGUACUUUCAGUCGUGAGGAAGGUGUUAAGGUUAAUAACCUUAGCAAUUGACGUUAGCGACAGAAGAAGCACCGGCUAACUCCGUGCCAGCAGCCGCGGUAAUACGGAGGGUGCGAGCGUUAAUCGGAAUUACUGGGCGUAAAGGGCACGCAGGCGGUUAAUUAAGUUGGAUGUGAAAUCCCCGGGCUUAACCUGGGAAUGGCAUUCAAGACUGGUUAGCUAGAGUCUUGUAGAGGGGGUAGAAUUCCAUGUGUAGCGGUGAAAUGCGUAGAGAUGUGGAGGAAUACCGGUGGCGAAGGCGGCCCCUGGACAAAGGCUGACGCUCAUGUGCGAAAGCGUGGGGAGCAAACAGGGAUUAGAUACC